RNAcentral lists this ribosomal RNA (253 nucleotides) under uncultured bacterium. RNAcentral's name for it is "partial 16S ribosomal RNA". It matches the Rfam family "Bacterial small subunit ribosomal RNA", at positions 524 to 776 of the family's 1533-position model. The record is from RNAcentral.
UACGGAGGGGGCCAGCGUUGUUCGGAAUUAUUGGGCGUAAAGAGCUCGUAGGCGGUUUGUCGCGUCGACUGUGAAAACCCGAGGCUUAACCUCGUGCCUGCAGUCGAUACGGGCAGACUAGAGUUCGGUAGGGGAGACUGGAAUUCCUGGUGUAGCGGUGAAAUGCGUAGAGAUCGGAAGGAACACCCAAGGCGAAAGCACUCUGCUGGGCCGACACUGACACUGAGAGACGAAAGCUAGGGGAGCAAAUGGG